UAGGGAAUCUUCGGCAAUGGACGAAAGGCUGACCGAGCAACGCCGCGUGAGUGAAGAAGGUUUUCGGAUCGUAAAACUCUGUUGUUAGAGAAGAACAAGGACGUUAGUAACUGAACGUCCCCUGACGGUAUCUAACCAGAAAGCCACGGCUAACUACGUGCCAGCAGCCGCGGUAAUACGUAGGUGGCAAGCGUUGUCCGGAUUGAUGGGGCGUAAAGCGAGCGCAGGCGGUUUCUUAAGUCUGAUGUGAAAGCCCCCGGCUCAACCGGGGAGGGUCAUUGGAAACGGGGAGACUUGAGUGCAGAAGAGGAGAGUGGAAUUCCAUGUGUAGCGGUGAAAUGCGUAGAUAUAUGGAGGAAAACCAGUGGCGAAGGCGGCUCUCUGGUCUGUAACUGACGCUGAGGCUCGAAAGCGUGGGGAGCAAACAGG
This 429-nucleotide ribosomal RNA is filed under the name Gemmatimonadota bacterium. RNAcentral's name for it is "Gemmatimonadetes bacterium partial 16S ribosomal RNA". It matches the Rfam family "Bacterial small subunit ribosomal RNA", at positions 355 to 776 of the family's 1533-position model. The record is from RNAcentral. Lineage: Bacteria; Pseudomonadati; Gemmatimonadota.